GGGGCGGUAGCUCAGUCGGUUAGAGCAGGGGACUCAUAAUCCCUUGGCCGUGGGUUCGAGCCCCACCCGCCCCACAA
This 77-nucleotide transfer RNA is filed under the name Actinoalloteichus fjordicus. RNAcentral's name for it is "tRNA-Met". It matches the Rfam family "tRNA". Rfam says of the family: Transfer RNA (tRNA) molecules are approximately 80 nucleotides in length. Their secondary structure includes four short double-helical elements and three loops (D, anti-codon, and T loops). Further hydrogen bonds mediate the characteristic L-shaped molecular structure. tRNAs have two regions of fundamental functional importance: the anti-codon, which is responsible for specific mRNA codon recognition, and the 3' end, to which the tRNAs corresponding amino acid is attached (by aminoacyl-tRNA synthetases). tRNAs cope with the degeneracy of the genetic code in two manners: having more than one tRNA (with a specific anti-codon) for a particular amino acid; and 'wobble' base-pairing, i.e. permitting non-standard base-pairing at the 3rd anti-codon position. Lineage: Bacteria; Bacillati; Actinomycetota; Actinomycetes; Pseudonocardiales; Pseudonocardiaceae. The record is from RNAcentral.